RNAcentral lists this small nuclear RNA (18 nucleotides) under Arabidopsis thaliana (thale cress). RNAcentral describes it as "snRNA_03866". The record is from RNAcentral. Lineage: Eukaryota; Viridiplantae; Streptophyta; Magnoliopsida; Brassicales; Brassicaceae.
UCCAAUCAAACGCUAUGU